ACUCAAAUGAAUUGACGGGGACCCGCACAAGCGGUGGAGCAUGUGGUUUAAUUCGACGUUAAGCGAGGAACCUUACCAAGAUUUGACAUGUAUACGUUCUAUUUCUAGGAAACUAGAGAAAGGCGCAAGCAGGUAUACACAGGUGUUGCACGGUUGUCGUCAGCUCGUGCCGUGAGGUGUUCACUUAAGUGUGAAAACGAGCGCAACCCCUAUCAUGAGUUACAAGUGUCUCAUGAAACUGCCGGCGUUUAAGCCGGAGGAAGGUGGGGAUGACGUCAAAUCAGCGUGGCCCUUACAUCUUGGGCGACACACGUGCUACAAUGGGAAAGUACAAAGGGACGCCAAAGCGCAAGCUGGAGCAAAUCCUGAUAAAAUUUCCCUCAGUUCGGAUUGGGGGCUGCAACUCGCCCCCAUGAAGCUGGAAUCGCUAGUAACCGUAGAUCAGCCUCGCUACGGUGAAUACGUUCUCGGGUUUUGUACACACCGCCCGU
RNAcentral lists this ribosomal RNA (491 nucleotides) under uncultured bacterium. Its description in RNAcentral is "partial 16S ribosomal RNA". It matches the Rfam family "Bacterial small subunit ribosomal RNA", at positions 899 to 1397 of the family's 1533-position model. The record is from RNAcentral.